Molecule: ribosomal RNA, 301 nt
Filed under: uncultured bacterium
Lineage: Bacteria
Description: partial 16S ribosomal RNA
Rfam family: Bacterial small subunit ribosomal RNA
Source: RNAcentral
CAGCAGCCGCGGUAAUACGGAGGGUGCAAGCGUUAAUCGGAAUUACUGGGCGUAAAGCGCACGCAGGCGGUCUGUCAAGUCGGAUGUGAAAUCCCCGGGCUCAACCUGGGAACUGCAUUCGAAACUGGCAGGCUAGAGUCUUGUAGAGGGGGGUAGAAUUCCAGGUGUAGCGGUGAAAUGCGUAGAGAUCUGGAGGAAUACCGGUGGCGAAGGCGGCCCCCUGGACAAAGACUGACGCUCAGGUGCGAAAGCGUGGGGAGCAAACAGGAUUAGAUACCCGAGUAGUCCCUGUCUCUUAUAC